GAGUUUGAUCAUGGCUCAGAGCGAACGCUGGCGGCAUGCUUAACACAUGCAAGUCGCACGGUCAGCAAUGGCAGUGGCGGACGGGUGAGUAACGCGUAGGUAUCUAUCCACGGAUGGGGGACAACGUCGGGAAACUGACGCUAAUACCGCAUGAUGCCUGAGGGCCAAAGACGCAAGUCGUCUGUGGAGGAGCCUGCGUACGAUUAGCUAGUUGGUGGGGUAAAGGCCUACCAAGGCGACGAUCGUUAGCUGGUCUGAGAGGAUGAUCAGCCACAUUGGGACUGAGACACGGCCCAAACUCCUACGGGAGGCAGCAGUGGGGAAUAUUGGACAAUGGGCGCAAGCCUGAUCCAGCAAUGCCGCGUGUGUGAAGAAGGUCUUCGGAUUGUAAAGCACUUUCGGCGGGGACGAUGAUGACGGUACCCGCAGAAGAAGCCCCGGCUAACUUCGUGCCAGCAGCCGCGGUAAUACG
RNAcentral lists this ribosomal RNA (472 nucleotides) under uncultured eubacterium WR147. Its description in RNAcentral is "bacterial SSU rRNA". It matches the Rfam family "Bacterial small subunit ribosomal RNA", at positions 9 to 527 of the family's 1533-position model. The record is from RNAcentral.